UACGUAGGGGGCGAGCGUUGUCCGGAUUUACUGGGCGUAAAGGGCGUGCAGGCGGUGCAGUGCGUUUGGAGUGACAGUUCCCGGCUUAACCGGGAAAGGACUGCCAAAGACGGCUGGACUAGAGGGCCAGAGAGGGACAUAGAAUUCCGGGUGGAGUGGUGAAAUGCGUAGAUAUCCGGAGGAAUACCAAAGGCGAAGGCAGUGUCCUGGUUGGCAUCUGACGCUGAGGCGCGAAAGCUAGGGGAGCGAACAGG
This 254-nucleotide ribosomal RNA is filed under the name uncultured bacterium. RNAcentral's name for it is "partial 16S ribosomal RNA". It matches the Rfam family "Bacterial small subunit ribosomal RNA", at positions 524 to 776 of the family's 1533-position model. The record is from RNAcentral.